CCAGUCCUGACUUGGGCGAGCAGAUGAGGCUGGCGUUGAUAUGCACCCGUUUUGGAAGGAUUUCUGCAUCCUAGGCAGGAUGGAUGAGUGACUGCUUCCUCCUGCCUGCCUGCCAAGCCUGGAUGGCAAGACGCUGGCGUCCAGGGGCAUCGGCUGUCAAGAUCCUGUCUACUUUAAAGGCUGUGAAACUCGCGUGGUACCGAACUUGAAUGUCCACGGAGCAACUGUGUUUAAGCGGAAGUGUUUCAGAGUCAUGCUUGUAAAGCUACAUCUUUGGCUGUCACCCAACUCCACUCGUGUCCCUUCUGCUUUCACCCACUGGAUGCCGCUGUCUGCCCAGGGAAUCUCAGAGCUCUGAACCUUGUGAGGUGGCAGCUGAAAAAAGCUGAAAAAUAUCAUGGACAGUACGAAAUCCAGA
Molecule: long non-coding RNA, 418 nt
Organism: Castor canadensis (American beaver)
Lineage: Eukaryota; Metazoa; Chordata; Mammalia; Rodentia; Castoridae
Source: Ensembl